UACGGAGGAUCCAAGCGUUAUCCGGAAUCAUUGGGCUUAAAGGGUCCGUAGGCGGUUUAAUAAGUCAGUGGUGAAAUCUGGUCGCUCAACGAUCAAACGGCCAUUGAUACUGUUAGACUUGAAUUAUUAGGAAGUAACUAGAAUAUGUAGUGUAGCGGUGAAAUGCUUAGAUAUUACAUGGAAUACCAAUUGCGAAGGCAGGUUACUACUAAUUGAUUGACGCUGAUGGACGAAAGCGUGGGGAGCGAACAGG
This 253-nucleotide ribosomal RNA is filed under the name uncultured bacterium. Its description in RNAcentral is "partial 16S ribosomal RNA". It matches the Rfam family "Bacterial small subunit ribosomal RNA", at positions 524 to 776 of the family's 1533-position model. The record is from RNAcentral.